RNAcentral lists this ribosomal RNA (556 nucleotides) under Chryseobacterium phosphatilyticum. RNAcentral's name for it is "bacterial SSU rRNA". It matches the Rfam family "Bacterial small subunit ribosomal RNA", at positions 982 to 1533 of the family's 1533-position model. Lineage: Bacteria; Pseudomonadati; Bacteroidota; Flavobacteriia; Flavobacteriales; Weeksellaceae. The record is from RNAcentral.
UGACAUGGCAUGUUACCUCGAGAGAUCGGGGAUCCUCUUCGGAGGCGUGCACACAGGUGCUGCAUGGCUGUCGUCAGCUCGUGUCGUGAGAUGUUGGGUUAAGUCCCGCAACGAGCGCAACCCACGUCCUUAGUUGCCAUCAUUCAGUUGGGCACUCUAGGGAGACUGCCGGUGAUAAGCCGCGAGGAAGGUGUGGAUGACGUCAAGUCCUCAUGGCCCUUACGGGAUGGGCUACACACGUGCUACAAUGGCGGUGACAGUGGGACGCGAAGCCGCGAGGUGGAGCAAAUCCCCAAAAACCGUCUCAGUUCGGAUUGCACUCUGCAACUCGGGUGCAUGAAGGCGGAAUCGCUAGUAAUCGUGGAUCAGCACGCCACGGUGAAUACGUUCCCGGGCCUUGUACACACCGCCCGUCACACCAUGGGAGUUGGUCUUACCCGACGGCGCUGCGCCAACCGCAAGGAGGCAGGCGACCACGGUAGGGUCAGCGACUGGGGUGAAGUCGUAACAAGGUAGCCGUAGGGGAACCUGCGGCUGGAUCACCUCCUUUCUAAGG